AGACCGCCCGUACCGCAAACCGACACAGGUAGUCGGGUCGAGAAGACCAAGGUGAGCGAGAGAACUCUCGUUAAGGAACUCGGCAAAAUGACCCCGUAACUUCGGGAGAAGGGGUGCUGAUCGCAAGAUCAGCCGCAGUGAAUAGGCCCAGGCGACUGUUUAUCAAAAACACAGGUUUCUGCAAAAUCGUAAGAUGAAGUAUAGGGGCUGACGCCUGCCCGGUGCUGGAAGGUUAAGAGGAUGGGUUAGCGCAAGCGAAGCUCAGAAUUGAAGCCCCAGUAAACGGCGGCCGUAACGAUAACGGUCCUAAGGUAGCGAAAUUCCUUGUCGGGUAAGUUCCGACCCGCACGAAAGGCGUAACGAUCUGGGCACUGUCUCAACGAGAGACUCGGUGAAAUUAUAAUACCCGUGAAGAUGCGGGUUACCCGCGACAGGACGGAAAGACCCCAUGGAGCUUUACUGUAGCUUGAUAUUGGGUGUUUGUACAACUUGUACAGGAUAGGUAGGAGCCGUAGAAGUCGGGACGCUAGUUUCGACGGAGGCAUCGGUGGGAUACUACCCUCGUUGUAUGAACACUCUAACCCACGCCGGCAAUCACGGCGGGAGACAGUGUCAGGUGGGCAGUUUGACUGGGGCGGUCGCCUCCUAAAAGGUAACGGAGGCGCCCAAAGGUUCCCUCAGAAUGGUUGGAAAUCAUUCGCAGAGUGUAAAGGCAUAAGGGAGCUUGACUGCGAGACCUACAAGUCGAGCAGGGACGAAAGUCGGGCUUAGUGAUCCGGUGGUUCCGCAUGGAAGGGCCAUCGCUCAACGGAUAAAAGCUACCCUGGGGAUAACAGGCUUAUCUCCCCCAAGAGUCCACAUCGACGGGGAGGUUUGGCACCUCGAUGUCGGCUCAUCGCAUCCUGGGGCUGUAGUCGGUCCCAAGGGUUGGGCUGUUCGCCCAUUAAAGCGGUACGCGAGCUGGGUUCAGAACGUCGUGAGACAGUUCGGUCCCUAUCCGUCGCGGGCGCAGGAAAUUUGAGAGGAUCUGUCCUUAGUACGAGAGGACCGGGAUGGACAUACCGCUGGUGUACCAGUUGUUCUGCCAAGGGCAUCGCUGGGUAGCUAUGUAUGGAUGAGAUAAACGCUGAAAGCAUCUAAGUGCGAAACUCACCUCGAGAUGAGAUUUCCCACUCCUUUAUGGAGUUAAGACCCCUGAGAGAUGAUCAGGUAGAUAGGAUGGAAGUGGAAGUGCGGCGACGCAUGGAGCGGACCAUUACUAAUCGGUCGAGGACUUAACCG
This 1281-nucleotide ribosomal RNA is filed under the name metagenome. RNAcentral's name for it is "bacterial LSU rRNA". It matches the Rfam family "Bacterial large subunit ribosomal RNA", at positions 1635 to 2925 of the family's 2925-position model. The record is from RNAcentral.